Molecule: transfer RNA, 97 nt
Filed under: Streptomyces mirabilis
Lineage: Bacteria; Bacillati; Actinomycetota; Actinomycetes; Kitasatosporales; Streptomycetaceae
Description: tRNA-Arg
Source: RNAcentral
CGGCGGCCCGGGCGGCCUUGCCGGUCUCGGCACGCUCGCGGGGUGUGCGGUGCGCGACGACGCCGUCGGCCCGGUGGUGCGAGGUCAUCGCAGUCGG